Heteronotia binoei (common prickly gecko) is the source of this 501-nucleotide long non-coding RNA. RefSeq lists it as uncharacterized. NCBI's taxonomy places the organism in Eukaryota, Metazoa, Chordata, Lepidosauria, Squamata, Gekkonidae. The transcript has 3 exons. The record is from RefSeq and is a predicted model, not a curated record.
UUACAGCUGUGAUCUGCAGUUGAAACCUCCAUGUCCCCUAACAAAUAACUUUCCUGAAAACAAAGAGGUGCCUUCUACACUGUAUAAAUGAUUGCAGCCAAAGUGAAAUUCCAACAGUGACCCCUACAAUUUAAAAAUAAAAGGCAAUAUUUGUAGACUUUGGAUAAAAUCCAGGCAAAAUUAAGCAUACUUUUAUGGGAGAUUUAUAACUCAGUCCUAUGCAUAGUUACUCAGAAGUAUGUGUAUGUAUUGUAUCUUAUAACUCUCUCAUUAACAUCAAUGGGACAAAGAACUUGACUUUGGCUGGAUUAUAUUCUUUGUGUGUACAAAUCUCUUUUAAUUGUUGGGUUGCAGCCCCUGGGCUGGUUUUGCAUUCAUCUCUGCAUUAAGCCCUAAUGCACUUAUAAAUAGGAUCACAAUGCAGAAGCAUUUAAAAUAUUAAACCAUUGGAGAGCUGGAACAUAAUAUGGGGAUUGGUCUUGCUGGGAGAACUCAUUGGGG